Long non-coding RNA from Athene cunicularia (burrowing owl), 1375 nucleotides. RefSeq lists it as uncharacterized. The record is from RefSeq and is a predicted model, not a curated record. The transcript has 3 exons. Lineage: Eukaryota; Metazoa; Chordata; Aves; Strigiformes; Strigidae.
GGGUGGAUGCACCACAUAGGAUUCCCCACUUGCCGGGACAGGCUCUGCAAACCCUCGCUGUAACCGAGGCUCCCCAGUGACUGCAGAUCUGGAUGAUGCCCCACCCUGAACUUCAGAGACUUCUGCAGUUUGGGAAUACACUGAUACCAAGCUCUCCGUACUUCCUUCAGAAAUUACAAGUGAAGCUAAAUCUAUGCAAGUCACUUCACUGCAGGGUUAUCUGGUUUUAACUGGUAUCAUUGAUUUUACAGGAUUCUGGUGAAGGACAAGAUGUUUCUCUGGAUUGGUCGGAUGGGAGUCAGGAUCACUGGGUGGGUACAUGGCUUCACCCCCUGUCUCCAGAACAAUGGGAAUUUCCUUCAUGCUAAGCAGCAGCAGCAACUUUUUUCACCAACAACUUCCCCUUCCACCAUAGCAUCCUCCUGUCUUUCCUUAGUAAUGUCCAUGGCAGAUGAUUUUUUUAAACACAGGACACCUACUAAUGUGCUAGCCUUUAGCUAACAUAAGUACAGCGAUCUGAAAAGGCAAAUGCUAUACACACUACCUUAGAUAUACAUAUUAAGAAAAAGACCCAUCUCUCCCUUGCAUACUAACAAUGCCAUCUGCAAAUGUCAUCACAGUAUGUUCAAGAGUUGCAAAUUUUCCAGUUAAAUCAUGCUGAUAAUCUCUGACUCUGGGCAGGGAUGGCUGAAUACCUCUAAUUUGGAAAGUAUUAUUAGGCUCUUCUGAAAGAAGGCCAACUUCCAAGGAGCACAAUGAGCUUUGUUGGGGGCAUCUCAUGGAAGCAACAUUUCAGGGGUUAGGUCAGGGGGUUCUGUGUAGGUCAUAGAAAGUUAAAUUAGCUUGAUCUCACAUUCCUAACACACACACAACACCCCAAAGGCAAAAUGCAAGAAGCCACGUGCAGUCUACAUCUUGAAGAGCUGAGUGAAUGUGGCUGGAUAUAACUAACAGCAGAGUUUGGGCAAUGGAGUUUAACCAUUUGUAUCUGCUCCUAUUUGACAGCCAGUCAGAGACAUGAAUUUGGGAAAGAAUAUAUAAAUACAGAGUUUAUAAAUGCACAAACUGCCUACUUUCCCUACUGACUCAGUCAGAGUAAAUAUGUAUAACCCUCUAAUUCAGCUACUUCAGUUUCACAGCAUCCAGGCAUACCACAAAAAACUGAUCUUCCUCUGAAGGUUUGCCUUGGUUUUUUUUCUACCGCCAAAUUUUUGCUAUUAAAUGUUUACAAUGUUUUAUGCAGCUGUCUAAAGUACAAUGAACCAUAAUCUGUAGGACAGAUGCCCUAUAAAUUAAAUCUUAAAUGUGAGCUGGUAAGGGUCUGCAGAAUUUAGCCUUCGAGAUACAAUGUGGGCAGGAGCUUACGAAAUGCAAA